RNAcentral lists this long non-coding RNA (692 nucleotides) under Taeniopygia guttata (zebra finch). RNAcentral's name for it is "lncRNA (ENSTGUG00000026728.1)". The record is from RNAcentral. Lineage: Eukaryota; Metazoa; Chordata; Aves; Passeriformes; Estrildidae.
GGGUGACAGACCCUCCCAGCAGUGACAAGUGCCACUGGCAGCCGUGACCCUGCUGUGCCUCUCCCCGUGGGACACCUGUGGUGGGAAUGGUUCUUCCAAACUUCCUCAUAUUGGGAAAAGCACUGUUGUGGAAAAGGUCACAUCUAAUCACUCCAAAGUACAGCAGGGACAGAAUCAUUUAACUGGAAAAGCUGGGAACAAUAGGAACAAGUCAUUUUCCAGUCUGUCCUGGGUAAAGCAGCACAAUUAACUGCUUUACUUAACAUGCAAGUUUAUAAGUGAUCUCCAUGACACCCCUGACACGAAGAAAAUAAUGGGGUUAAACUGGCUCUCAUUACAAGCUGAUCUUUGUGCAGACUUUGGUUGGUAGAACUGGCAGAAGACGUGUAUUGCAGAAUUAAAAUUAAAAGUUAUGAGAACCAUCGCUACAUAAUGGUGAGAUCAGACGAGAAUGGGAGAAUCCACACAAGUCUUUAAUCUCCAUCAAGACAAGACAUUGUUUCUGCUUGGUUCUGCAGUUUAAAAUAAAUCCUUAAUGACACUGUCAUCGUCUCGUUUUGUGGUCUUCAUUUCCUCCUGAUUAUAAAUAAGAAUCAGGUUUCCCUUUAGCAGGACUGGGAGGCAGGGGAGUUCAAACUCUUCUGCUCACAGGGAGCAAGAGCUGCUGCUCUCACUGCAGUGUCAGAUCUUUG